CUCCCCUAGAUUACAAAUAAUUCAAUAUAUGUUAAACACAUGCAAUUCUUAUAUACAUAUUUCCACAUUUAUCAUGCUGCAUAAGAAAAAUCAGAUCAAAAAGGAGAAAAUGAAGAAGAAAAAACAAGCAAGCAAACAACAACAAAAAGUUGAAAAUACUACGGUGUGAUCCAUAUUCAGUUCCCACAGUCCUCUCUCUGGGUGCAAAUAGUUUUCUCCAUCACAAGACCAUGGAACUGGCAUGAAUUACCUCACUGUUGAAAAGAGCUAUGUCUGUCUGAAUUGAUCAUCAUAUAAUCUUGUUGUUGCUGUGUGCAGUGUUCUCUUGGUUCUAUUCCCUUCACUCAGCAUCAGUUCAUGUAGAUCUCUCCAGGCCUUUCUGAAAUCAUCCUGCUGGUCACUUCUUACAGAAUAAUAAUAUCCCAUAACAUUCAUAACCCAUAAUUAGUCAGUGGUUCUCCAACUGAAGGACAAGAGUUGACAUUUCUAUUGGGCUUUAAUGGCUAAGUAGGAAUUGACCGGGUGAAGGGAGACAGAGGGGUGAGAAUGAUGGUUUCUAGGUCUGACUUGACUUCAUUAAAAGCCUAGCCUGCAGCUCAUUUAGCUUUUCUAUCUAGAACAACCUGAAAAAAAAAAGAAAAGAGAAUUUUGCAAACUAUUUUUAGAGUCAUGGAGUUGUUCCUUACAGGAGCUUGGACACAUUUCACAGCAUGAUGGACAGGAUGAUACAUCUUAAUUGAGCAACUGAGGAUGGGAAGAUGCUGGACCUCCUGUUCCUCGAUUCAUUUCUCCUUGCAAAAGCCAGGUGAAUGGAGUGGAGCCUCCAGCAAGUUGUGGGUUAGAAGCUGCUCCAGAAUCUGAAAUGCUGGAUGCUGGAAGCAUGCCAGAGUCUGGGUUCCAGAGACAUUCCAGGCCCAGGGCCAGUGGUAGCUGAAGCAUGGCUUGAUCCAGCAAUCAUCCAUCUAUCUGAGCAUAAACUGGCCGGAGGACUUAUUUCGCUUGUUACAGUACUGAAGAAUCUGAGAGUGAGAAGAGGAAAGGAUGGCCAAGAAAGGAUGGUCCAGAAAGAGGAAAGGAUUCCUUUCCCAGUCCAUAGGGGAAAGGAAUCCCUGCUCUAAUAUUCCCAGCACUUCGUUCUCCAGCCUCUGCUUGCAGUCCUUCAAGAAGCGAGACCCCCAUCACCUCUUGCUGUGGUCCACUGGACUCUUGGACAGUGCUCACGAUGAGAAAGCUUUUCCUGGGGAUGAGCCCAAAUUUGUCUGCAGUGAGGACUGGUUCUGCUCUCUGGGUCAACGUGAACAGAUUAAGGGGCUCCUCCUCCAUCCCACGGGCUUUCAGUUCUUGAAGACAAGCGGGCGCUUCCCCGCUAAACCUUUUCUCUCUCCUAGACCGUCCCGCUCCAGCUCAUCCUAAUGUCUUGG
Molecule: long non-coding RNA, 1421 nt
Filed under: Sarcophilus harrisii (Tasmanian devil)
Lineage: Eukaryota; Metazoa; Chordata; Mammalia; Dasyuromorphia; Dasyuridae
Description: lncRNA (ENSSHAG00000032274.1)
Source: RNAcentral